GACGAACGCUGGCGGCGUGCUUAACACAUGCAAGUCGAACGGAAAGGCCCCUUUGGGGGUACUCGAGUGGCGAACGGGUGAGUAACACGUGAGUAACCUGCCCUUGACUUCGGGAUAACUUCAGGAAACUGGGGCUAAUACCGGAUAGGAAUCCUUGCUGCAUGGUGGGGGUUGGAAAGCUUCGGCGGUUUUGGAUGGACUCGCGGCUUAUCAGCUUGUUGGUGGGGUAGUGGCUUACCAAGGCUUUGACGGGUAGCCGGCCUGAGAGGGCGACCGGCCACAUUGGGACUGAGAUACGGCCCAGACUCCUACGGGAGGCAGCAGGGGGGAAUAUUGCACAAUGGGCGGAAGCCUGAUGCAGAAACGCCGCGUGCGGGAUGACGGCCUUCGGGUUGUAAACCGCUUUCAGCAGGGGCGAAGCUUGUGGUGACGGUACCUGCAGAAGAAGCACCGGCUAACUACGUG
Molecule: ribosomal RNA, 465 nt
Filed under: uncultured bacterium
Lineage: Bacteria
Description: partial 16S ribosomal RNA
Rfam family: Bacterial small subunit ribosomal RNA
Source: RNAcentral